Molecule: ribosomal RNA, 505 nt
Filed under: uncultured bacterium
Lineage: Bacteria
Description: partial 16S ribosomal RNA
Rfam family: Bacterial small subunit ribosomal RNA
Source: RNAcentral
GACGAACGCUGGCGGCGUGCCUAAUACAUGCAAGUAGAACGCACAGUUUAUACCGUAGCUUGCUACACCAUAAACUGUGAGUUGCGAACGGGUGAGUAACGCGUAGGUAACCUGCCUGGUGGCGGGGGAUAACUAUUGGAAACGAUAGCUAAUACCGCAUAAUAUUGAUUAUUGCAUGAUAAUUGAUUGAAAGAUGCUAUUGCAUCACUACCAGAUGGACCUGCGUUGUAUUAGCUAGUAGGUGAGGUAACGGCUCACCUAGGCGACGAUACAUAGCCGACCUGAGGGGGUGAUCGGCCACACUGGGACUGAGACACGGCCCAGACUCCUACGGGAGGCAGCAGUAGGGAAUCUUCGGCAAUGGACGAAAGUCUGACCGAGCAACGCCGCGUGAGUGAAGAAGGUUUUCGGAUCGUAAAGCUCUGUUGUAAGAGAAGAACGGGUGUGAGAGUGGAAAGUUCACACUGUGACGGUAUCUUACCAGAAAGGGACGGCUAACUACGUG